GAUGAACGCUGGCGGCGUGCCUAAUACAUGCAAGUCGAGCGAACGGACGAGAAGCUUGCUUCUCUGAUGUUAGCGGCGGACGGGUGAGUAACACGUGGAUAACCUACCUAUAAGACUGGGAUAACUUCGGGAAACCGGAGCUAAUACCGGAUAAUAUUUUGAACCGCAUGGUUCAAAAGUGAAAGACGGUCUUGCUGUCACUUAUAGAUGGAUCCGCGCUGCAUUAGCUAGUUGGUAAGGUAACGGCUUACCAAGGCAACGAUGCAUAGCCGACCUGAGAGGGUGAUCGGCCACACUGGAACUGAGACACGGUCCAGACUCCUACGGGAGGCAGCAGUAGGGAAUCUUCCGCAAUGGGCGAAAGACUGACGGAGCAACGCCGCGUGAGUGAUGAAGGUCUUCGGAUCGUAAAACUUUGUUAUUAGGGAAGAACAUAUGUGUAAGUAACUGUGCACAUCUUGACGGUACCUAAUCAGAAAGCCACGGCUAACUACGUG
This 497-nucleotide ribosomal RNA is filed under the name uncultured bacterium. RNAcentral describes it as "partial 16S ribosomal RNA". It matches the Rfam family "Bacterial small subunit ribosomal RNA", at positions 28 to 507 of the family's 1533-position model. The record is from RNAcentral.